RNAcentral lists this unclassified non-coding RNA (166 nucleotides) under soil metagenome. RNAcentral describes it as "partial internal transcribed spacer 1". The record is from RNAcentral.
GUGAAUUAAACAUGCUUGGUGUCUUCGCUUCGGCAAGGCCCUUGCUUAAAUCACAUCCUAACACCUGUGAACUGUAAGACGUAUGAUGAGGUCUUUGGCCAAGUCAUCGUCUGCCCAUUUUUAACAAACAAUUAAUGUAACAAACGUAGUCUUAUUAUAACCUAAU